Bolinopsis microptera is the source of this 331-nucleotide long non-coding RNA. RefSeq lists it as uncharacterized. Lineage: Eukaryota; Metazoa; Ctenophora; Tentaculata; Lobata; Bolinopsidae. The transcript is spliced from 5 exons. The record is from RefSeq and is a predicted model, not a curated record.
GGAAAAUGUUAUGAAAACUUAUACAGCGAAAACAGUGGACAAGUUUGCCAGCUGACUAUUUUUUACAUAUUGGUGGACAUCCUAUGAAAACAGCUGCAGUGAAAAACAGUAGACAAAUUUGCCAGCUCAGUACGGUUUUAACAAAUUGGAGGAAAAUGUUAUGAAAACUUAUACAGCGAAAACAGUGGACAAGUUUGCCAGCUGACUAUUUUUUACAUAUUGGUGGAAAUCCUAUGAAAACAGCUGCAGUGAAAUACAGUCGAAAAAUUUGCCAGCUCAGUACGGUUUUAACAAAUUGUAACUACCAGUAAAGAUGUCUGACCAGAGCACU